RNAcentral lists this ribosomal RNA (1156 nucleotides) under uncultured archaeon. RNAcentral's name for it is "bacterial SSU rRNA". It matches the Rfam family "Archaeal small subunit ribosomal RNA", at positions 325 to 1450 of the family's 1478-position model. The record is from RNAcentral.
ACGGGGCGCAGCAGGCGCGAAAACUCCGCAAUGCGCGCAAGCGUGACGGGGCCAUCCCAAGUGCCGUCCGAUAAGGUCGGCUUUUGUCCAGCGUAAAUAACUGGACGAAUAAGGGGAGGGCAAGGCUGGUGCCAGCCGCCGCGGUAAAACCAGCUCCUCGAGUAGUCGGGAGGAUUACUGGGCCUAAAGCGUCCGUAGCCGGCCCUAUAAGUUUCCGGUCAAAACCAGCGGCCUAACCGCUGGCUUGCUGGGGGUACUAUAGGGCUUGGGAGCGUGAGAGGCCGAGGGUACUUAUAGGGUAGGGGUGAAAUCCUAUAAUCCUAUAGGGACCACCGGUGGCGAAGGCGCUCGGCUGGAACGCGUCCGACGGUGAGGGACGAAAGCCAGGGGAGCGAACCGGAUUAGAUACCCGGGUAGUCCUGGCUGUAAACGAUGCGGACUGGGUGUUAGAGUGGCUACGGGCUGCUCUAGUGCCGCAGAGAAGUCGUUAAGUCCGCCGCCUGGGGAGUACGGCCGCAAGGCUGAAACUUGAAGGAAUUGGCGGGGGAGCACCACAAGGGGUGAAGCCUGCGGUUUAAUUGGACUCAACGCCGGGAAACUUACCGGGGGCGACAGUUGGAUGAAAGCCAGGCUGAUGACCUUGCUAGACUAGCUGAGAGGAGGUGCAUGGCCGUCGCCAGUUCGUGCCGUGAGGUGUCCUGUUAAGUCAGGCAACGAACGAGAUCCCUGCGCAUAGUUGCCAGCGGACCCCUACGGGGGUGCCGGGCACACUACGCGGACCGCAGUCGAUAAGACUGAGGAAGGAGGGGGCCACGGCAGGUCAGUAUAGAGCGUUCGGUCGUGAACCGACGUUCGCUGAAGCCCCGAAUCCCCCGGGCCACACGCGGGCUGCAAUGAGGGGCACAAUGCGUUUCGACUCCGAGAGGAGGAGGUAAUCGUUAAAACCCCUCGUAGUUGGGAUCGAGCGCUGCAACUCGCGCUCGUGAACAUGGAAUCCCUAGUAACUGCGUGUCAACAUCGCGCGGUGAAUACGUCCCUGCUCCUUGCACACACCGCCCGUCGCUCCAUCCAAGUGAGGCUAGGGCGAGGCGCGAUCCGUAGGGUCGUGUCGAACCCCGGUUUCGCGAGGAGGGAGAAGUCGUAACAAGGUAGCCGU